ACGGGAGUAGCAAUACAACUGGUGGCGACCGGCGCACGGGUGAGUAACGCGUAUGCAACCCAUCUAUCAGAGGGGAAUAACCCGGCGAAAGUCGGACUAAUACCGCAUAAAACAGGGGCACCGCAUGGUGAUAUUUGUUAAAGAAAUUCGCUGAUAGAUGGGCAUGCGUUCCAUUAGGUAGUUGGUGAGGUAACGGCUCACCAAGCCGACGAUGGAUAGGGGAACUGAGAGGUUGGUCCCCUACACUGGUACUGAGACACGGACCAGACUCCUACGGGAGGCAGCAGUGAGGAAUAUUGGUCAAUGGGCGGGAGCCUGAACCAGCCAAGUUCCGCGUGAAGGAAGAAGGAUCUAUGGUUCGUAAACUUCUUUUGCAGGGGAAUAAAGUGCAGGACGUGUCCUGUUUUGUAUGUACCCUGAGAAUAAGGAUCGGCUAACUCCGUGCCAGCCGCCGC
RNAcentral lists this ribosomal RNA (455 nucleotides) under uncultured bacterium. Its description in RNAcentral is "bacterial SSU rRNA". It matches the Rfam family "Bacterial small subunit ribosomal RNA", at positions 64 to 518 of the family's 1533-position model. The record is from RNAcentral.